This 3008-nucleotide ribosomal RNA is filed under the name Salmonella enterica subsp. enterica serovar Senftenberg. Its description in RNAcentral is "23S ribosomal RNA". It matches the Rfam family "Bacterial large subunit ribosomal RNA". Lineage: Bacteria; Pseudomonadati; Pseudomonadota; Gammaproteobacteria; Enterobacterales; Enterobacteriaceae. The record is from RNAcentral.
GGUUAAGCGACUAAGCGUACACGGUGGAUGCCCUGGCAGUCAGAGGCGAUGAAGGGCGUGCUAAUCUGCGAUAAGCGCCGGUAAGGUGAUAUGAACCGUUAUAACCGGCGAUACCCGAAUGGGGAAACCCAGUGUGAUUCGUCACACUAUCAUUAACUGAAUCCAUAGGUUAAUGAGGCGAACCGGGGGAACUGAAACAUCUAAGUACCCCGAGGAAAAGAAAUCAACCGAGAUUCCCCCAGUAGCGGCGAGCGAACGGGGAGGAGCCCAGAGCCUGAAUCAGCAUGUGUGUUAGUGGAAGCGUCUGGAAAGGCGCGCGAUACAGGGUGACAGCCCCGUACACAAAAGCGCAUGUGCUGUGAGCUCGAUGAGUAGGGCGGGACACGUGGUAUCCUGUCUGAAUAUGGGGGGACCAUCCUCCAAGGCUAAAUACUCCUGACUGACCGAUAGUGAACCAGUACCGUGAGGGAAAGGCGAAAAGAACCCCGGCGAGGGGAGUGAAAAAGAACCUGAAACCGUGUACGUACAAGCAGUGGGAGCCCCACCACCAAAGCAUUCUCUGGUGUUGAAGGCCCUGCAAAGCAGCAUCGCGGUGGCGGAGCGUCGUUUGCGACGCCCAACACACAAAACAAGCGGUGAGUGCUUUGGGGUGGGGUGACUGCGUACCUUUUGUAUAAUGGGUCAGCGACUUAUAUUCUGUAGCAAGGUUAACCGAAUAGGGGAGCCGGAGGGAAACCGAGUCUUAAUUGGGCGUUAAGUUGCAGGGUAUAGACCCGAAACCCGGUGAUCUAGCCAUGGGCAGGUUGAAGGUUGGGUAACACUAACUGGAGGACCGAACCGACUAAUGUUGAAAAAUUAGCGGAUGACCUGUGGCUGGGGGUGAAAGGCCAAUCAAACCGGGAGAUAGCUGGUUCUCCCCGAAAGCUAUUUAGGUAGCGCCUCGUGAACUCAUCUCCGGGGGUAGAGCACUGUUUCGGCUAGGGGGCCAUCCCGGCUUACCAACCCGAUGCAAACUGCGAAUACCGGAGAAUGUUAUCACGGGAGACACACGGCGGGUGCUAACGUCCGUCGUGAAGAGGGAAACAACCCAGACCGCCAGCUAAGGUCCCAAAGUCAUGGUUAAGUGGGAAACGAUGUGGGAAGGCCCAGACAGCCAGGAUGUUGGCUUAGAAGCAGCCAUCAUUUAAAGAAAGCGUAAUAGCUCACUGGUCGAGUCGGCCUGCGCGGAAGAUGUAACGGGGCUAAACCAUGCACCGAAGCUGCGGCAGCGACGCUGAUGCGUUGUUGGGUAGGGGAGCGUUCUGUAAGCCUGCGAAGGUGGCCUGUGAGGGUUGCUGGAGGUAUCAGAAGUGCGAAUGCUGACAUAAGUAACGAUAAAGCGGGUGAAAAGCCCGCUCGCCGGAAGACCAAGGGUUCCUGUCCAACGUUAAUCGGGGCAGGGUGAGUCGACCCCUAAGGCGAGGCCGAAAGGCGUAGUCGAUGGGAAACGGGUUAAUAUUCCCGUACUUGGUGUUACUGCGAAGGGGGGACGGAGAAGGCUAUGUUGGCCGGGCGACGGUUGUCCCGGUUUAAGCGUGUAGGUGUGUGUUCCAGGUAAAUCCGGUUCACUUUAACACUGAGGCGUGACGACGAGGCACUACGGUGCUGAAGCAACAAAUGCCCUGCUUCCAGGAAAAGCCUCUAAGCAUCAGGUAACAUCAAAUCGUACCCCAAACCGACACAGGUGGUCAGGUAGAGAAUACCAAGGCGCUUGAGAGAACUCGGGUGAAGGAACUAGGCAAAAUGGUGCCGUAACUUCGGGAGAAGGCACGCUGACACGUAGGUGAAGUGAUUUACUCAUGGAGCUGAAGUCAGUCGAAGAUACCAGCUGGCUGCAACUGUUUAUUAAAAACACAGCACUGUGCAAACACGAAAGUGGACGUAUACGGUGUGACGCCUGCCCGGUGCCGGAAGGUUAAUUGAUGGGGUCAGCGCAAGCGAAGCUCCUGAUCGAAGCCCCGGUAAACGGCGGCCGUAACUAUAACGGUCCUAAGGUAGCGAAAUUCCUUGUCGGGUAAGUUCCGACCUGCACGAAUGGCGUAAUGAUGGCCAGGCUGUCUCCACCCGAGACUCAGUGAAAUUGAACUCGCUGUGAAGAUGCAGUGUACCCGCGGCAAGACGGAAAGACCCCGUGAACCUUUACUAUAGCUUGACACUGAACAUUGAGCCUUGAUGUGUAGGAUAGGUGGGAGGCUUUGAAGUGUGGACGCCAGUCUGCAUGGAGCCGACCUUGAAAUACCACCCUUUAAUGUUUGAUGUUCUAACGUGGACCCGUAAUCCGGGUUGCGGACAGUGUCUGGUGGGUAGUUUGACUGGGGCGGUCUCCUCCUAAAGAGUAACGGAGGAGCACGAAGGUUGGCUAAUCCUGGUCGGACAUCAGGAGGUUAGUGCAAUGGCAUAAGCCAGCUUGACUGCGAGCGUGACGGCGCGAGCAGGUGCGAAAGCAGGUCAUAGUGAUCCGGUGGUUCUGAAUGGAAGGGCCAUCGCUCAACGGAUAAAAGGUACUCCGGGGAUAACAGGCUGAUACCGCCCAAGAGUUCAUAUCGACGGCGGUGUUUGGCACCUCGAUGUCGGCUCAUCACAUCCUGGGGCUGAAGUAGGUCCCAAGGGUAUGGCUGUUCGCCAUUUAAAGUGGUACGCGAGCUGGGUUUAGAACGUCGUGAGACAGUUCGGUCCCUAUCUGCCGUGGGCGCUGGAGAACUGAGGGGGGCUGCUCCUAGUACGAGAGGACCGGAGUGGACGCAUCACUGGUGUUCGGGUUGUCAUGCCAAUGGCACUGCCCGGUAGCUAAAUGCGGAAGAGAUAAGUGCUGAAAGCAUCUAAGCACGAAACUUGCCCCGAGAUGAGUUCUCCCUGAGACUUAGAGUCUCCUGAAGGAACGUUGAAGACGACGACGUUGAUAGGCCGGGUGUGUAAGCGCAGCGAUGCGUUGAGCUAACCGGUACUAAUGAACCGUGAGGCUUAACCUU